RNAcentral lists this ribosomal RNA (301 nucleotides) under uncultured bacterium. RNAcentral describes it as "partial 16S ribosomal RNA". It matches the Rfam family "Bacterial small subunit ribosomal RNA", at positions 509 to 809 of the family's 1533-position model. The record is from RNAcentral.
CAGUAGCCGCGGUAAUACGGAGGGUGCAAGCGUUAAUCGGAAUUACUGGGCGUAAAGCGCACGCAGGCGGUCUGACAAGUCAGAUGUGAAAUCCCCGGGCUUAACCUGGGAACUGCAUUUGAAACUGUCAGGCUGGAGUCUUGUAGAGGGGGGUAGAAUUCCAGGUGUAGCGGUGAAAUGCGUAGAGAUCUGGAGGAAUACCGGUGGCGAAGGCGGCCCCCUGGACAAAGACUGACGCUCAGGUGCGAAAGCGUGGGGAGCAAACAGGAUUAGAUACCCGCGUAGUCCCUGUCUCUUAUCA